Molecule: long non-coding RNA, 373 nt
Organism: Cercocebus atys (sooty mangabey)
Lineage: Eukaryota; Metazoa; Chordata; Mammalia; Primates; Cercopithecidae
Exons: 2
Source: RefSeq, a predicted model, not a curated record
CACUCCAACCUGGCAACAGAGUGAGACUCUGUCUCAAAAAAUAAUAAUAAUAAAAAAUAAAUAAAGGACCUAACAGAGUUUUAUGAGAAUCAAAGGAGGUAAUAUGUCUGAAGGUACACUAUAAACUACCAAGUGUAUGUAAAUGUAAUAUUGUUUGUUUUCUUACUUUAAAAACCUGAAUUUCAGGGAAAAUCUACCCAGUCAUUUCAAGUUCAAGGAGUAUUGUCCCCAGGUCUUCAGGAACCUCCGUGAUCGAUUUGGCAUUGAUGACCAAGAUUACUUGGUGUCCCUUACCCGAAACCCCCCCAGCGAAAGUGAAGGCAGUGAUGGUCGCUUCCUUAUCUCCUACGAUCGGACUCUGGUCAUCAAAGAA